AGUGAACGCGGGCGGUAGGCCUAACACACGCAAGUCGAACGGCAGCACAGUAAGAGCUUGCUCUUACGGGUGGCGAGUGGCGGACGGGUGAGGAAUACAUCGGAAUCUACUUUUUCGUGGGGGAUAACGUAGGGAAACUUACGCUAAUACCGCAUACGACCUACGGGUGAAAGCAGGGGAUCUUCGGACCUUGCGCGAUUGAAUGAGCCGAUGUCGGAUUAGCUAGUUGGCGGGGUAAAGGCCCACCAAGGCGACGAUCCGUAGCUGGUCUGAGAGGAUGAUCAGCCACACUGGAACUGAGACACGGUCCAGACUCCUACGGGAGGCAGCAGUGGGGAAUAUUGGACAAUGGGCGCAAGCCUGAUCCAGCCAUACCGCGUGGGUGAAGAAGGCCUUCGGGUUGUAAAGCCCUUUUGUUGGGAAAGAAAAGCAGCAGGUUAAUACCCCGCUGUUCUGACGGUACCCAAAGAAUAAGCACCGGCUAACUUCGUG
RNAcentral lists this ribosomal RNA (492 nucleotides) under uncultured bacterium. RNAcentral describes it as "partial 16S ribosomal RNA". It matches the Rfam family "Bacterial small subunit ribosomal RNA", at positions 29 to 507 of the family's 1533-position model. The record is from RNAcentral.